CUGUUAAUCAUAUAUAACCUGUUUUAUGGCUUACCCACUGAAUCUAUCUUGUUCAGUUUAAGUUUUAUCUAUUGCGUAUACAGGUCUGACCACCACCCUUAAGGACAAUAUUUAAGAACUUAUCUUGCAUUAACCUAUCUGAAAAAGAAAGAAAAGAAAUUAUUAUAUAAAUAAGUUGGCACUUGUGGCAUUUGACAAACAUCAUCUACAGACAUGUCUCUAACUAAUGAUGUACAGUGUAGCAGAGCAAUGAAGAGCACAGGCUCUGGAACCAGACUGCUUGGACUCAGUCUCUGCAAAUAACCAUCUAACUUUGAACAAGUUAUUUUGGCUCUCUCUGUCUCAAUUUCCUCAACUGUCUAAAAAUAAAGAUCCUCUACCAUAA
Long non-coding RNA from Suricata suricatta (meerkat), 385 nucleotides. RefSeq lists it as uncharacterized. NCBI's taxonomy places the organism in Eukaryota, Metazoa, Chordata, Mammalia, Carnivora, Herpestidae. The transcript is spliced from 2 exons. The record is from RefSeq and is a predicted model, not a curated record.